GAUGAAGAACGUAGCGAAAUGCGAUAAGUAAUGUGAAUUGCAGAAUUCAGUGAAUCAUCGAAUCUUUGAACGCACCUUGCGCCCCUUGGUUAUUCCAAAGGGCAUGCCUGUUUGAGUAUCGUGAACACCUCAACUCUUGUGGUUUCCCACAAUGAGCUUGGACUGUGGAGGUUUUGUUGGCCCUGUGGUCAGCUCCUCUCAAAUGGAUCAGCUUACCGGUGUUUGGUGGCAUUACGGGUGUGAUAACUAUCUACGCUCGUGGUCGUCUCCAAAUAACCUCCAGUGAUGGAGGUUCGCUGGAGCUUAUAAAUGUCUCUCCCCAGUGAAGACAGCCUUUGAACGUUCGAUCUCAAAUCAGGUAGGACUACCCGCUGAACUUAAGCAUAUCAAUAAGCGGAGGA
RNAcentral lists this unclassified non-coding RNA (401 nucleotides) under soil metagenome. RNAcentral's name for it is "partial contains 5.8S ribosomal RNA, internal transcribed spacer 2, and large subunit ribosomal RNA". The stretch from base 1 to 121 matches the Rfam family "5.8S ribosomal RNA", at positions 35 to 154 of the family's 154-position model. The record is from RNAcentral.